CGCUCGCCAGCCACGGCUAUUCAGUAACACAUAAGGUUUAAUUGUUUUAUAAAUUUCCAUUUUUCGAAAACUGGACGUAACCCAGCAGUUUGGUUUUCGGAUUCGUAUUUAGGGGUGUCUUACAGUUUUGUAACGGAGUAUAGACACAAUUGGAUUAUUAGUAUUGAAAUGGUGAAAGAAAGCGGUGCCAUAGCCAAUAAAUCAUUUCUUUGUGGUUCCGCGUAGGAGAUAGUUCUAAUAAUCCACGGAAUUCUAGCUGCUGUCCAUUAUAAAAAACAGCACGAGAAGUUCUUUUUCUGAAACCGAGGCAGUGUCGCAUAACCAAAUAUGCCAGAUAAUUGGAUUAUACCGAUAAAGUGACAAAAAUGAAGAGAACAAUUUAAAAGUGAUCAUGGAUAGAUAAAAAGAAUGCAAUUUAUUAACAAAAAUGCAGUAUAUUAAUGUAAUAUUUCACGAACCUGGAUGUUGCCACUUUGUGUACUCCUAGUGGGCCUCACCUUCACUCCCAAAAAGGAAGGCUUUAGAGGUAAAUAGUAGUGAGGAUCGAGGGUCCAGUGUGACUUCCAUAUUUUUACGAGUCAGUCCGAAACAAUACGCCGAAGAAAAACCACCUGGGUUGUUCACACCUCGAGCACAUACAGUCCACCUAUAUUUUUAUCUGGCUCAAGGAAGUCGCGCAAUAUUAAUUUGGCGUGUGACGUCGCAAAGGCA
Nomia melanderi (Alkali bee) is the source of this 711-nucleotide long non-coding RNA. RefSeq lists it as uncharacterized. NCBI's taxonomy places the organism in Eukaryota, Metazoa, Arthropoda, Insecta, Hymenoptera, Halictidae. The record is from RefSeq and is a predicted model, not a curated record.